CCACCGAAUCAGCUUUGAUUAAUUAAAUAAAGUGUUUGGUCAGACCACCCAGGGCAGAUGAACAAUCUUAUGGUGCUGUUAACAAUAAAUUUUCAGCUGUAGUUUUUUGUUGUUUUUUUCUUCACACAUUUCUUGCUUUGUUUCUUAUAAAGAAGCUAUAGAAACAAAUAUAUGUUGCAGAAAGAUCUUUAAUGAUUUAGUCUGAAAACAAACAAUUUUACAUCUAUACAUCUCAACACAAAAAAACACGUUUGCUCAUGUCUCUCGAAUUUGGCAUUUGGUGCGAGACAGUGGCUCAAUUAUUAGCACCAGUCGUAAAGGCAACAAUAAAGAUCAUUAUGUCCACAAUUGGGUAAUAAAUGAACACAGAAAGAGCCACAGAUUUCUCUACAAGUUCUAUACAUCCUCAAACCCUUGUGUGUUAAUUUCUUAAAUAUUUUGGCUAAUUUGCUUUCAGCAAAUCACAAUUCCGUUUUACACUUUUUACGAACAAAA
Long non-coding RNA from Rhinichthys klamathensis goyatoka, 495 nucleotides. RefSeq lists it as uncharacterized. NCBI's taxonomy places the organism in Eukaryota, Metazoa, Chordata, Actinopteri, Cypriniformes, Leuciscidae. The transcript is spliced from 2 exons. The record is from RefSeq and is a predicted model, not a curated record.